UACAGUGAUCUUCAGUUCGUCUGGUCUGGAGGUCAGUUUGUAUGUUCUAGUUCUGGGACAAACUUGUCUAAAACCUGAGGGAGAAAUAGAUGGAUAACUUCCUCUCACAAGCAUCUGGACAAACUCUAAUGAGGGUGACUCAAUUUGAAAUUUCUUUUACAGAUGUCCAGAAUUUUUCAGAUUUCCAUUCAUCAGCGUCUCUCACGGUGAAUCCUGACAGAGUGCAGCACUUCACCUCUGACUCUGUCUCUCUGAGCUGUGAGGGAAACUCUACUGAGUGGAGAGUGAGGAGGUUUACUGAUGAUGGCGUCCUGUCACACUGUUCUACCUGGGGGACAAUGACUGGAUCAACAUGCAAUGUUAAUAGGUUAAGGAACAGUAAUGCAGUGUAUUGGUGUGAGUCUGAAUCAGCUUUCAGCAACGCAGUCAACAUCACUGGACAGAAUAAAGACAUCAUCCUGGUGAGCCCUGUCCAUCCUGUUACUGAGGGAGAUUCUGUUUCUCUUGGCUGCAAGUUGAAGACACAAAAUGUUCUUUCUACUGUGUUUUUCUAUCACAAUGACAAACUCAUCCAAAAUGAUACCAGAGAGGAGCUGAAUAUCUCUGCAGUGUCAAAGUCAGAUGAAGGCUUCUACAAGUGUCAGUCCUCAGGAAAACAAUCACCACAGAGUUGGGUGGCUGUAACAUGUGAGUUUGAUUUUAUAGUGUGAUACAGUGUGGGAUGAAUGUUUUUGCAAAGGCCACAGCACCUGAAAUGUGUAAAUAAUAUCUACAAAGGUUUUAACAAAGGUGAGGGGAAAUUAUUUGGCUUGGGAAAUGCCGAGAACUUCCUGUGAAACUUUGUGUGAUGUCAGAAUGUCUAUGAAUGGUUUAUGUCGUUGGUCUUCAUGACGGGGUUCGCAUAGGUACUGCAAAAUAUUUGGUUGAUUAGAAUUUUUAUUUUUUUUUACUAUAUAUUUUUUUAUACUACACUAUAAAAAUAAACAAUAUGCCUAAUUAAGCAAGAAUCUUUAUUCUAAAAAGAGGACACCCACACCAUCUCUUUUAUGCUCUUUAAUUCAAGAAAGAAUUUCACGGAAAAAUGUGUCAGCACAAAGCAAAAUGUCUCAAACUCAAAUGUAUCAUUUCAAUUAUCAUUGGAAUUGCGUAUCAUCAUUAAAUCAUUAAGUCUUUCUCAGAUAUGCCAUUACAUAUGUGUAACAGGUCCCAGGCAGAGUACCUGUACACAGAUAAGACUCCUGUAAAACAGGAGAAAGAAUUAGACAGACGACUGGUUGCUUCUGUUCGAUGUAACUUCGCUCAUUAGAAUGAGGAAGUCAACAAGAGUUCGUUCCUAAAGAAAGUCCAAGCGGAGAACCAACCGGCCACACUGCCCCCUACUGGUGACACUGAUUAACUCUCUUUGCUUUUGCUCUAUCCACAGGUAAUAAUUGACUAUUUUGGCACAUAUCAGCACGUUUCUUUCACAAAAACAAUGCGUUCAAAAUACAACAAACCAAAUUACAUGAAAUGUGACCUUACAUUUCAUGAGCAUCACAUAUGCAUCAUCAAACGGGAAACCGUCCAGGGUCUCCGUCUGUGACCCUGACGUCAAAUAUUCAAUGACUUCAGUGUCGGAUUUGUAAGGGCCUUGAUCCUCCUCGUCAAAAUCAAAAAAGUCAUUCUCGCUUCCGCCGGAGGCUUUGAUAUGUGGAGUAUGCAAGUCCUGCUGUUCGCGGGGUGAAGCCACGGCAUUCUGUGGUCAGCGGUGUCCUUAAAGCAUCUCCUCCCCUCUUCUUUCAGCCACCUCACUUUAAACUUUGACAAUGUCACAGCAGCAAGUAGGGGAUCUUUGCUGUCCAACACCGAUGCAAAACGCGUCUUAAUGGGACGCGGCAUCCUGUAAUGGGUUCCAUCUCGUUGUUGUUGGUACCUUGAGUUUUUUUAAACAUAUAACCUCAACAAGCUCAGAGGCCACAGCAGUUUUCAACAACAUUAGUAGAAAUCAAGUUCAGUGUGUGCGAUGCACAUCUCAAAUGAAGGGGUAGUGAAUACUGUCCCUCUGGGGUACCGCUGGAGAGGACUUUGUGAACACCACAUCUUCAUCUCCACCUUCCUCCUUGUCUGAAUCUGACGGUCCAGGCUCAUACAUUUUGAACGCUUUGAUAGAAUUUGACCCAUUGUCUGUUACAGUAGCGGUCACCUUGUGUGACAGAUCAUGCGCUGAGUGAACCUGUUCAAUUUCACCGGCUCUGACAUCAUACGUAUGUCGUCCUUUUAUUCUUUUACAGGCAACAAGCGAGAUGUCAUACCUAAAAAGCUUUUACUGUGGCAAGCCAAAAUGUCAGCGGUAGUAGAAGUCGUGUAUGCAGUGGUGGAUAACUGUUUCUGCCCCGGGCACAGCUUACAUCUCACCAUCACAUUCUUUUCUUUUCUUCCAACAAACUUUUAAGUAAUGGGAAAAUUUCCAUCUUUCAAAUGACGUUUCCAUUUCUGUUGUGGGUCUCUUCAUCUCCUUUCUCUUCUUCAUCUCUGCGAGUCAGGUUAAUGAUAUUCGUCAUGCUGCUUACCACUUACCAUAGUUAUAUAUAUAUGGGUCUUCAUAGUCAUAGUUUGUUUCGUUCAUGUUUUUGUAAAGACUUUUUGGCAUGCAAUAUGUAAUGUACAUUAAGUUUGUUCAUUAAUAGUUACAGACUCUGAGCCUGAAAGCAACUUUCCAUUUAUUAUUGGGCUGGUUUGUGGAAUUCUCCUGAUUAUUCUCCUGCUUUUUCUGCUACUGCUGUGUUGCUGCAGAAAAAGAAAUGGUCCAUGCAGUAUCAGUCUCACUCGGUCUCUGUUCAUCAAUCAAGGCUCUGCUACACACCAUGGUGUUGUCUCUGUCUACGAAUACACCAGAGGCUCUGGAAACACAGGAAGUGGUACAGUAGAAACUUUGAUUCAUGUGGAGCUGUCAGACAUUAGAUUAUUAUCAGUGACUGAUCUAAACAUAUUUAUUCUCAUUUCAGAUGAACCAGCCACGUUGUACAGCAGUGUUGCAUCGUCUGCAUCUCCACUUCAGCUUCAAACCAUUAAUAAGAGAAGUGUUUUCUCUGUCUAUGAAUACGGCAGAGGAUCUGGAAACACAGGAAGUGGUGAACCAGACUCUGUGUACAGUAAUGUUGGAUCUCUUCACCAGCUUCAAGGUCUUAAUAAGAGGAGAGAGAACGCAAAAUAUAAAACGUAAAAUGUAAAGAUGCGGUCGCAUUUGUUGUUAACACUGUAAAUAAAUAAAUAAACUUUUUAAUUACUUUUAAAUCUUGAACUUUCACAAACUUGAUAAUAAUGAUAGUUCAUGUAGAAGGCUGCCACAAUUAUGUUCAUUUCUCCUUCUAAUGUAUGAGUAUGUAAGUUAUUACUGCAGUGAAUCUGUAGUUAUCACUUACGUUAUUUUAUUUAUUUUACCUGUGUUUGGGAGUAAAUGAAUGAUAGGGAUAAAACUCUUUGAAAUGGCUCCACUGCUGAGUUAGAAUGAUAUAGCUGAAACCUUCAAUGUAAUCAUAUACUCUAGUACGUAAUAACAUGACACCAAAACGCUCUAUUUAUUCAUUCUUACUGCCACAGUUUGGCUCAGUUUACGCUCUGCAUAUGCUGCUGGUUUAGUGAGGGGUUGUUUUUGCGUUUAGCUAACAACUUCCUAUCACUCUGUAUGUAGCAGAGCUCUGUUGUUAGCUGAUAAAAAGCACCAUGGUGUAGGAUUUCUUCCACUGAACUUGCAGCAGUCUUCCUGGUCCACUUUCUCACUGCAAAUACCAUUCACUGUCUCAUUGUUCCUGUGUGGCCCGUAUGUGAAAGCUUUGCGGACAUCAAAUAGCUGAGCCUAUCACCACCAAUUACAAUUAUGUGAAUGACACAAGCUCCUUUGCAGUAUCACAUUGUUUCCAUUUUUAGGUUUUAAGUAUGCAGUCUUGGCUCGGUAGUGGACUGAUGGCAAUGAUUUUUAUCCCUAUUAAUCAUGCAUUCAUCAGAAGAAUAGCCCAUAGGUCAAACAUCUUGAGUUUGCUGUCACCAGCAUGAAUGAGUAACGUGUUCAGACACUAAAUUAAUUGUCAGUUUACAU
RNA transcript from Mugil cephalus (flathead mullet), 4075 nucleotides. It is a transcript of the gene named high affinity immunoglobulin gamma Fc receptor I-like, with no coding region annotated. The record is from RefSeq and is a predicted model, not a curated record. The transcript has 7 exons. NCBI's taxonomy places the organism in Eukaryota, Metazoa, Chordata, Actinopteri, Mugiliformes, Mugilidae.